UACCAGCUCUCCGAGUAGUGUGGAUGUUUAUUGGGCCUAAAGCAUCCGUAGCUUGCUAAGCAAGUCCCCUGUUAAAUCCACCGAUUCAAUCGGUGGAUUGCGGGGGAUACUGUUUGGCCAGGGGACGGGAGAGGCCGACGGUAUUUCCGGGGUAGGGGUGAAAUCCUAUAAUCCCGGGAAGACCACCAGUGGCGAAGGCUGUCGGCUAGAACGCGCCCGACGGUGAGGGAUGAAAGCUGGGGGGAGCGAACCGGAUUAGAUACCCGGGGUAGUCCCAGCUGUAAACGAUGCAGGCUAGGUGUUUGGGCGGCCACGAGCCGCUCUAGUGCCGCAGGGAAGCUGUUAAGCCUGCCGCCUGGGGAGUACGGCCGCAAGGCUGAAACUUAAGGAUUGGGCGGGGAGCACCACAAGGGGUGAAGCUUGCGGUUU
RNAcentral lists this ribosomal RNA (429 nucleotides) under uncultured archaeon. RNAcentral's name for it is "bacterial SSU rRNA". It matches the Rfam family "Archaeal small subunit ribosomal RNA", at positions 474 to 903 of the family's 1478-position model. The record is from RNAcentral.